GCUAUCAUGAGGAAAACUGCUAUAAGCAUUUGCAUGAGGGAGGUAUCCAGAGAGGCUAAUGGAAGAGACAGGCUUUGGGAUUUAUUUGCAGAGAGGUUAGGCAUUCAGACAUGUGGAAAGAGAGAUGAAAGGAAAGUGCACCUGAGGCUGAACAAGUGACUAAAGGAGAAGCCACUGUGCCUGUCGAAAGAACAAUGAAUAAUCCAGAAUUGAUAGAUAAGUAAGACUGGGGAAGGAAGAGAAAGGAAGACACAGCCUCUGAGAGCCGGAUGAAGACACAAAUGGGAUGGAGGCUGCGGCUGUUAAACCAUCAGGACUCAGCGGCUGUUAAACCAUCAGGACUCAGCAAUUAUUUCAUGUGGAGACAAGUGAUGGCAAAGCCAAAAGGCCACGGGUGUUGAGCUGUUGACGAGAAACUGAAAGUGCCAUUGUGUUUAUACAGGAAGCUGCCAUUAGUAGGGAUUUGAAAAAGCAAGAGGAGAGGAUGAGUUUAGUGGGGAGUUCUUACACUUCAGGUGCUAGUGGAUACCACCAAGUCAAUAUUGAGUAGCAGGAAACCAGGGCCUGAUGUUCCGUCAGGCCAUCAGGGCGGAGACAUUGUGGAGAGGAAGUUUUGAGGCUGUGAGAUUAGGAGAGAAGCAUGGAGUGUAGAGCAGGAACUAGGCCUCUCUUUACCCAAAAUCCAAAACCCCACUUAUGCCAGACACACUCAAUACUUUCUGCUGGGAUCCUCAAUUCUCAUAAAGUUUUCAUAAUAAGGCCGGGCGGGGUGGCUUAUGCCUGUAUUCCCAGCACUUUGGGAGGCCGAGGCGGGCGGAUCACCUGAGGUCAGGAGUUCAAGACGAGUCUGGCCAACAUGGUAAAAACCUGUCUCUACUGAAAAUACAAAAAUCAGCCGGGCUUGGUGGUAGGCGCCUACAGCUAGUCGGGACGCUGAGGCAUGGGAAUCGCUUGAACCCAGGAGGCAGAGGUUGCAGUGAGCCAAGAUCAUGCCACUGCACACCAGCCUGGGGGAUACAGCAAGACUCUGUCACAAUAAAAAAAACAAAAAGUUUUCAUAAAUUGGGAUGUUUCCUCUAUUCCUUCCCCUGUCUCAUUCUUGAGGGAUUGAAGAUAGUGUUUGAAAUCUCACUGGCAACCCUUCCUGCUCCCUUUCCCAGCAGUUCCAUGACCUUAUCCACUCUAACAAGCCCCGUUUCCUCCCUGCUUCUGCCACUCGCUGAACACAGUACCUUGGCAUUGCUGUCCUACAUACUCCAUUCUAGCCGUGACCGCUCUUCCGGAACACAAUCUCCUACUAGCUGCUAGGUCUGAGUGACUAACAUAAAAUUCUCCCUGGUCUGUCAGUAUUUGAAAUACAGCCGCUUGUCUUGAAAUGUUUAUUGUCACUUGUUCUUGGUAUAAGAUGAGCAUUUAAAAUACACACACACACACACACACACACGCACGCACAUAUACAGGUAUAUCUGAGGGUUUACUAUGUGCCAAGAACCAUGCUGGAAUCCUUUCAUAAAUAUGGCCUCCAUCAUUCCUGAGAACAAUCCUAUUAAAAUGUGAUGUGAAUGCAUUUUCUCAUUCAUUAAAAGUGUGUGUGUGUGUGUGUGUGUGAGAGAGAGAGAGAGAGAGAGAGAGAGAGAAUAUGACAUCCAUCUGGUAACAGAGACCUGAUCUCAGUUUCCCCAUCUGGGUACUGCUUAUAGAAAUUGAUUUUGGACUUCAAGGUAGAAUAUGAUGCAAGCUAACCCUAGGGGAACCCUGACAAAUUAAAGGGGAAAAUGCCUGUAGGGAGAUGCCAUGCUGAGUCCCCACAGAGCCCAGUUCAGCUGGGGAUGUUGCUCUGAGAACAUGCAGAUGAAUGUCUUAUUUGUUUUGGGCUUCUUAGACUUCAAUCCAUUCCAGGAACCCUUUUAGGGUUUACUAUGCAGCCAAGUGUAAAAUGCAUCUGAUUUUUAGGAAAUUUGCUAAAAGAAGCUAUACAACUCAUGCCAAAAACCUCUCCACAGCAGCUAAAAGUUCCAUUAAAGUAUGUCAUUAAACACAUGUUCCAAAAAGGUUUUGUAUCUCAUUUUGUUCUCUGGGGUCUACAUUUUGAAGUAAAACAUCUUCACUAACUUGGGCAUUUGAUGUUAAAAUACUAAAAAUAAUGGACAAAAUUAUGACAAGGAGAAGGCAAGGCUGGGACGGGCCACAGUGAAUAAAAAUUCAAUCUGUUUUCCCAAACCCACUGCCAUGCUAACUGGUAUGUGUCUGCUUCUCUCAGUGAUUCUGCGAGCUAUGGUCCCAGUGUCCCUAGUGGCAGUGGCAUGAAACCAUCUCAGGGCCAACCUCCAAGGAAACAGCAUUCAAGUGCCUUUACUCACACGGGAGCUGUGAGCCGGGGAUUUUCUGCUGCAAGUGACAGACCACCCAAUGCAAGCUAAAAUUAAAAAGAGGGACUUAGGGGCUUUCAUAAACCACUCCAGAGCUAGGCCUAGGUUCAGAAGAGCCAUCCAAGGGCAAGUGUAUCAGCAUCUGUGGUGGCAGCUGCCCUCCAGCGUCCUUCUGGCCUGUCCAGGUGCCCCAUUCUGUAGGAUCUCCUGUGCUCUCCCCACUGCCCAUCUCCACAGAUGAGAGGGAGGUCUCUCUCUCCAGAGAAUCCAAAACUGCCUUCAUGACUCUCUGGGCACUAAGUAGGACACGUUCUUAUCUGCAGAUCAAUCCCUGUGGCCGCCGUGUGGCUUUGUUAACUGACUGACUGGUGACUCCAGUUCAGCCCUGGAGCUGGACUGGGUCAGGGCCCCCAAAUUCCACAGGCAAAACAUGGGAUGUCUCUGCUCCCUGCAGGUCAAAUGUCAGUGCCAUUCCCAGGAGCACAGGGAAUGGAGGUGGGCAGCGCAAUCCAC
RNAcentral lists this long non-coding RNA (2882 nucleotides) under Homo sapiens (human). RNAcentral describes it as "non-protein coding lnc-PITRM1-5:4". Lineage: Eukaryota; Metazoa; Chordata; Mammalia; Primates; Hominidae. The record is from RNAcentral.